This 473-nucleotide ribosomal RNA is filed under the name bacterium 1911-S5-10-2. Its description in RNAcentral is "bacterial SSU rRNA". It matches the Rfam family "Bacterial small subunit ribosomal RNA", at positions 58 to 511 of the family's 1533-position model. The record is from RNAcentral.
CAAGUCGAGCGGAACGAGUUAUCUGAACCUUCGGGGAACGAUAACGGCGUCGAGCGGCGGACGGGUGAGUAAUGCCUAGGAAAUUGCCCUGAUGUGGGGGAUAACCAUUGGAAACGAUGGCUAAUACCGCAUGAUGCCUACGGGCCAAAGAGGGGGACCUUCGGGCCUCUCGCGUCAGGAUAUGCCUAGGUGGGAUUAGCUAGUUGGUGAGGUAAGGGCUCACCAAGGCGACGAUCCCUAGCUGGUCUGAGAGGAUGAUCAGCCACACUGGAACUGAGACACGGUCCAGACUCCUACGGGAGGCAGCAGUGGGGAAUAUUGCACAAUGGGCGCAAGCCUGAUGCAGCCAUGCCGCGUGUAUGAAGAAGGCCUUCGGGUUGUAAAGUACUUUCAGUCGUGAGGAAGGCGGCGUCGUUAAUAGCUGCAUUGUUUGACGUUAGCGACAGAAGAAGCACCGGCUAACUCCGUGCCAG